RNAcentral lists this ribosomal RNA (741 nucleotides) under uncultured bacterium. RNAcentral's name for it is "bacterial SSU rRNA". It matches the Rfam family "Bacterial small subunit ribosomal RNA", at positions 8 to 796 of the family's 1533-position model. The record is from RNAcentral.
AGAGUUUGAUCAUGGCUCAGAGCGAACGCUGGCGGCAGGCCUAAUACAUGCAAGUCGAGCGGUCCCUUCGGGGGCAGCGGCGGACGGGUGAGUAACGCGUGGGAACGUGCCCUUUGGUACGGACAACUGAGGGAAACUUCAGCUAAUACCGUAUGUGCCCUUCGGGGGAAAGAUUUAUCGCCAUUGGAGCGGCCCGCGUUAGAUUAGCUAGUUGGUGGGGUAAUGGCCUACCAAGGCGACGAUCUAUAGCUGGUCUGAGAGGAUGAUCAGCCACACUGGGACUGAGACACGGCCCAGACUCCUACGGGAGGCAGCAGUAGGGAAUCUUGCGCAAUGGGCGAAAGCCUGACGCAGCCAUGCCGCGUGAAUGAUGAAGGUCUUAGGAUUGUAAAAUUCUUUCACCGGGGACGAUAAUGACGGUACCCGGAGAAGAAGCCCCGGCUAACUUCGUGCCAGCAGCCGCGGUAAUACGAAGGGGGCUAGCGUUGCUCGGAAUUACUGGGCGUAAAGGGCGCGUAGGCGGACAGUUUAGUCAGAGGUGAAAGCCCAGGGCUCAACCUUGGAAUUGCCUUUGAUACUGGCUGUCUUGAGUACGGGAGAGGUGUGUGGAACUCCGAGUGUAGAGGUGAAAUUCGUAGAUAUUCGGAAGAACACCGGUGGCGAAGGCGACACACUGGCCCGUUACUGACGCUGAGGCGCGAAAGCGUGGGGAGCAAACAGGAUUAGAUACCCUAGUAGUCC